UCGCUCCUACCGAUUGAAUGAUCCGGUGAAAUCUUGGGACUGUCGCAUAAGUUGGGGUUUCUCGACUCGUGCUUUGGGAACUUGCUUAAACCUUAUCAUUUAGAGGAAGGAG
This 112-nucleotide ribosomal RNA is filed under the name uncultured eukaryote. RNAcentral's name for it is "partial small subunit ribosomal RNA". It matches the Rfam family "Eukaryotic small subunit ribosomal RNA", at positions 1676 to 1785 of the family's 1831-position model. The record is from RNAcentral.